This 435-nucleotide ribosomal RNA is filed under the name uncultured bacterium. RNAcentral describes it as "partial 16S ribosomal RNA". It matches the Rfam family "Bacterial small subunit ribosomal RNA", at positions 28 to 507 of the family's 1533-position model. The record is from RNAcentral.
GAUGAACGCUGGCGGUAUGCUUAACACAUGCAAGUCGAACGGACUCUUCGGAGUUAGUGGCGGACGGGUGAGUAACGCGUGAGAAUCUGGCUUUGGGUUCGGGACAACCACUGGAAACGGUGGCUAAUACCGGAUGUGCCGAGAGGUAAAAGAGAAAUUGCCUGAAGAUGAGCUCGCGCCUGAUUAGCUAGUUGGUGAGGUAAAGGCUCACCAAGGCAGCGAUCAGUAGCUGGUCUGAGAGGAUGACCAGCCACACGGGGACUGAGACACGGCCCAGACUCCUACGGGAGGCAGCAGUGGGGAAUUUUCCGCAAUGGGCGAAAGCCUGACGGAGCAAUACCGCGUGAGGGAAGAAGGCUCUUGGGUUGUAAACCUCUUUUCUUAGGGAAGAACAAAAUGACGGUACCUAAGGAAUCAGCAUCGGCUAACUCCGUG